UUGCUUUUGGAAGCACAUAUGCUAAAAUUAGAAUGAUACAGAGAGGCCCUUUGUAAGGAAAACACAUAAACCCAUGAUGCAUUCCAUAUUUGC
Molecule: small nuclear RNA, 93 nt
Organism: Cavia aperea (Brazilian guinea pig)
Lineage: Eukaryota; Metazoa; Chordata; Mammalia; Rodentia; Caviidae
Source: Ensembl